RNAcentral lists this ribosomal RNA (237 nucleotides) under uncultured bacterium. Its description in RNAcentral is "partial 16S ribosomal RNA". It matches the Rfam family "Bacterial small subunit ribosomal RNA", at positions 15 to 241 of the family's 1533-position model. The record is from RNAcentral.
GAUCCUGGCUCGGGAUGAACGCUAGCUACAGGCUUAACACAUGCAAGUUGAGGGGCAGCAUGGUCUUAGCUUGCUAAGGCCGAUGGCGACCGGCGCACGGGUGAGUAACGCGUAUCCAACCUGCCUUACACUCUUGGACAGCCUUCUGAAAGGGAGAUUAAUACAAGAUGUUAUCAUGAGUAAGCUAUUUUCGCAUGAUUAAAGGUUUACCGGUGUAAGAGUGGGGAUGCGUUCCUA